CCCGCGAACAUGUCUGUAAAAAUAAAAGGGGUUGUGUUGGGCCUUGUUGCCAUGAUGCUCCCCCAUGGGGGGGGCAGUGUGGAUGGGGGCGGUGGACUUGUUCCAUCCUCUUCUGUGCACUGUCCUCCCAACAGAACAAACCCCCGGCGUAAAAUGCGCCAAGGAAUCCUAAAUGAAAAGAGAAGGUAACCAGCACCCUAGCGUGCCGGGAACGGAAUUCGCAAGGGUGGCUGGUUUCCUUGUUUGAAAACUAAAUGACUCUCGGCAACGGAUAUCUUGGCUCUCGCAUCGAUGAAGAACGUAGCGAAAUGCGAUACUUGGUGUGAAUUGCAGAAUCCCGUGAACCAUCGAGUUUUUGAACGCAAGUUGCGCCCAAAGCCUUCGGGCCGAGGGCACGUCUGCCUGGGUGUCAUGUACCGUUGCCCCAUCCAACUCCCUCUGUGGGGAGAUCGGGCUAGGGGCGGAAAAUGGUCUCCCGUGCGCCCCCGCUCGCGGUUGGCCAAAAUUUGAGUCGUUGGUGAUAGUGCCACGGCAAUCGGUGGUUGAUAAGACCUUCGCAAAAUGUCGUGGACGAGCCAACAUAAGGCUUAUAGACCCUGUUCACUCCCAACACCCACCCCAGUCAGGCGGAUACCCGCGAUAUUAAGCUUUCAUAAGGGGGGAAAGGAAAUUCCACGAUCCCCUAAUACGGGGAGGAACGGAAAACCCGCUGAAAUCGGCCCCUCGCGCUGAUGUAUUUGAAAGCUCCUAAUGGGGACGGUCCAUUCCUGAAGGGGCCGGAAGGAGAACCCUUGUUGACCUGUCAUCCAGGGUUUUAAUUGGUUGU
This 826-nucleotide ribosomal RNA is filed under the name Passiflora allantophylla. Its description in RNAcentral is "eukaryotic LSU rRNA". The stretch from base 257 to 412 matches the Rfam family "5.8S ribosomal RNA". The record is from RNAcentral. Lineage: Eukaryota; Viridiplantae; Streptophyta; Magnoliopsida; Malpighiales; Passifloraceae.